RNAcentral lists this ribosomal RNA (497 nucleotides) under uncultured bacterium. RNAcentral describes it as "partial 16S ribosomal RNA". It matches the Rfam family "Bacterial small subunit ribosomal RNA", at positions 28 to 507 of the family's 1533-position model. The record is from RNAcentral.
GAUGAACGCUGGCGGCCUGCCUAAUACAUGCAAGUCGAGCGAACAGACGAGGAGCUUGCUCCUCUGACGUUAGCGGCGGACGGGUGAGUAACACGUGGAUAACCUACCUAUAAGACUGGGAUAACUUCGGGAAACCGGAGCUAAUACCGGAUAAUAUAUUGAACCGCAUGGUUCAAUAGUGAAAGACGGUUUUGCUGUCACUUAUAGAUGGAUCCGCGCCGCAUUAGCUAGUUGGUAAGGUAACGGCUUACCAAGGCGACGAUGCGUAGCCGACCUGAGAGGGUGAUCGGCCACACUGGAACUGAGACACGGUCCAGACUCCUACGGGAGGCAGCAGUAGGGAAUCUUCCGCAAUGGGCGAAAGCCUGACGGAGCAACGCCGCGUGAGUGAUGAAGGUCUUCGGAUCGUAAAACUCUGUUAUUAGGGAAGAACAAAUGUGUAAGUAACUAUGCACGUCUUGACGGUACCUAAUCAGAAAGCCACGGCUAACUACGUG